AUCUAUACGAGAAGUUUCUGGAGCUCUUUGACGAACCAGAGAAAGCUACUCUCUCAGAAGCAGGCGCAGCAGACAACAAGGUAGACCACAUGAAGCAAAUUGUCGAAGAAGCUGCCAGGAGAAUGAAUGAAGGAGGAUCGAAUUCUGAUGAACCUCCAUCCAACGAUGCUUCAGUCGAGGGGGAGCCAAGCUCACAUGUUGAGGGGGAGCCAAGCUCUACAACUGCUACCGAAAGUCCAACUGCAACCGAAAGUGCUUCUCCAACCGAAGGUGCAUCAACGCCUGAAAGUCCAGCACCACAAGAAACCUCUGAACCUCAAGUUUCUCAUAGCUCAUCAAUCGAGGGGGAGCAUGGUGAUAUGUCACUUGACUACGAAAGCCAAUCCGAGCCAGAAGAAAUGAUCAAUGCUGAACUAGACCCAACCUUUGAUCCAAACUAUCCUCCUCUUACCAAAUGGACCAGAGAUCAUCCUAUCUCUCAAGUGGUUGGUGAUGUCUCCGAAAAGGUUCUGACCCGAUCACAACUGAAGGCAAAACAGACAUCCUUAUUUUCAAAGGUUGAGUUUUGUAUGUUUAACUCAUUCGUAUCAAAAGUUGAACCGAAGACAGUUAACACUGCUCUCGAUCACUCCGAUUGGGUUCAAGCGAUGCAAGACGAACUGAACGAAUUUGAAAGGAACAAAGUCUGGCGCCUCAUUCCAACUCCUCCAGAUGCCUCGGUUGUUGGUCUCAAAUGGGUCUUUAGGAAUAAAAUGGACAAGGAAGGGAAUGUUAUAAGGAACAAAGCUCGUCUGGUAGUAAAGGGAUAUUGUCAGGAGGAAGGGAUUGAUUAUGAAGAGACUUUCGCUCCCGUAGCUAGGCUGGAAUCUGUUAGAAUAUUUCUUGCUUACGCUGCCCACAAAAACUUUGAAGUUUUCCAAAUGGACGUCAAGUGUGCAUUUCUUAAUGGAGAACUCGAAGAAACCGUGUAUGUGGAGCAACCUCCUGGGUUCGUGAACGAAAAAUAUCCAAAUCAUUGCUACAUUCUGGAUAAAGCUGUGUAUGGCCUCAAACAAGCUCCGAGAGCCUGGUAUGAAACGCUAACUAAAUUCUUAAAGAUGUCUAAAUUCAAACAAGGUUCGGUUGACCCAACCUUCUUUCGCAAAAAGGAAGGUAACCACCUUAUGAUAGUUCAAAUUUAUGUCGAUGACAUCAUCUUUGGCUCUACGAAUCCCAGCCUAACAGCUGAAUUCAGAAAGCUGAUGGAGACUAAAUUUGAAAUGAGCUCAAUGGGUCCUAUUAACUUUUUCCUUGGUUUAAAUAUUAGACAGGGACCCGAAGGCAUCUUUAUCAAUCAGGAAGCUUACACGAAGACUCUCCUAGCAAAGUUUGGUAUGAUGGGAGACUCCAAAGUCAAAGUCCCAAUGGCAUUCGGCACCAAGCUAACUCCAUCUCUAGACAAACCGGCUGUUGAUAUCACGCUCUAUCGUCAAAUGAUAGGCUCACUAAUGUAUCUUACUGCUAGCAGGCCUGACAUCAUGUUUUCUGUGUGUUAUUGUGCUCGAUUUCAGGCAAACCCACGCGAACCUCACAUGCUUGCAGUGAAGAACAUUUUACGCUAUCUCAAGCGAACCACCUCCUUAGGUCUAUGGUAUCCUUCCAACUCAGGCUUCUUCGUUCAAGCCUAUUCAGAUGCUGACCUUGGAGGAUGUGGACUCGACAGAAAAAGCACCACUGGUGGCUGUCAAUUCCUUGACGGGAAGUUGGUUAGCUGGCAAUCCAAGAAACAAACGUGCGUGUCGUUGUCUACUGCCGAAGCGGAAUACAUAGCCGCUGCAUCCUGCACCUCUCAAGUGAUUUGGAUCCAGAGUCAACUUCGAGACUAUGGACUCAAUAUGAAGAAGAUCCCACUAUAUUGUGACUCUGAAAGUGCAAUUAGGAUCUGUCAUAACCCAGUGCAACACUCUAAAACCAAACACAUAGCACUGAGGUAUCACUUCAUCAAAGAUCACGUGGAAGAUGGAAACGUCGAAGUUCACUUCGUAAGAACCACUGAUCAACUGGCUGACGUCUUUACCAAAGCUCUUCCUGAAGCAUCAUUCAACAGAAUAUUGCAAGGGCUAGGUAUGAUGGAAUCAGAGUCAGUACCUCACACUACCUCUCAACCUCAAACGUAAGAAGCGAAACCAACCGAACGUUCGGGUUCGGUUAAACCAUCUGACUCGCUCAUCACUUCAAAGGUAGUUUUUCUUGGUUGUAUAUUUCUUGUACAAAAUUGUUUUUCUUAGUGUUGAAAAUAUUUUACAAUUUCAUGUCUAAAAUCCUUGGUUUCUUAAAAUUUUCCAAAACCGAAACCUACCGAAGGUUCGGGUUCGGUUUCUCAAAAUUUUCCAAAACCGAAACCUACCGAAGGUUCGGGUUCGGUUUUUCAAAAUUUUGUUGAACCGAAACCAACCGAACGCUCGGGUUCGGUUUUUCAAAAUUUUCUGGAACCGAAACCAACCGAACGCUCGGGUUCGGUUUUUCAAAAUUUUUCCCAACCGAAACCAACCGAACGUUCGGGUUCGGUUUUUCAAAUUUUUUCCAAAGUUUUUUUUCUAAGUCUUAUUUUUUUUCUCUUAUUUUUUAAUUUUUUUUUCUCUUUUAUUUUUUAUUAUUUCUUUAAAUUAUCUCAAAAACUCGAAAUUUUUUUUUUUUUCGUGUGUUCGUUCAUUUAUGGGGGUAUAAAUGUUGGAUUACUUAAGUGUCCCUAGAAGCAUGCUGCUGUAUGUGUCCCAAGCCUCAUAAGAUUUUAAAUAAUAGCCUUCAUGACCAGGUAUAAACAAACCUUGUCUUCCCAAUAAGGCUACAACAUUUUUUCUAAUCAUGAGCUACCUCAUUCUCUUCUCACAUGAGUCAAGAGUUUUCUGCUUGGUCCUUCUUUUCGCAGCAGAGGUACUAUCAUUUCUUACACCAUCUCCAUUACAUUUCUCCAUCACAUUCGUUUCAUCAACGUAACCCUUGAGACUCUCAGAAAUUACCACUGAGGUUUAUGGUUACACAACAUCUGUGUUUAUGAUCUUAGUUUCAUGUCACUACGAGCUAAGUGAAACCCAACAUUCAACACAAAAUCUGAAUUGACGGUGAUCAAUUAAUUUGCUCAAGUUUUCACCAAAGAAUUCACGGAUGUACUCUCAUGAAAUCUCAAAUUUUAUUUUAUGUGAUUCCUAUGAAAUUGUUAAACACCAUAACAUUUCUUCCCUUGGGAUCCAGUUUUUAAUUUUAAAUUUUUUUUUAUUGAGAUCUUAUAUUUUUCAAGCCAAUUUAAUAUUAAUUCCCUCCUACUUGUUCAACAGACUACACCGGUCUCACAAGUACUUUGAUCACUUUCUUUCUUAUUUCAAGAUUAGAAUUGAUGCAUCAAAGCAAAAGCCACCCUAAAGUAGCUAAAUUAAAAGAAGCCUUUCAACAUUUCUUAAAAAGUGUUUGAUCGUAAUUCAACGGGAAUCCACAUUCACACUUUGAGGUCUCUCUUGAUCUUGAAAGAAGAGAUUCGUGCCCGGGAUCAUCAGUUUCGUGUCAAUAUUGACAUCACAGUAAAUCCUAAAAAGAGUUGCUUUAUUUCUUUUCUUUUUACACUCUUUGCACGAAAAUCUUUGAUUUUCCAAAAUUCCUUUACUAAUUAAUUUCAGGCAUAUUUAUUGCAUUGGUGGUUAAUAAUUAAGAUGUGGUCAACAAUCCUCCACUUGGGCAGUUUAUUCAAAAGUUGCGAUUCAAAAAGAUAAGACGAAGGGUUGCUGACUCAGGCGGGAAAUAAAAGGAUUGAAUUUCAACCGGUAGUAAAAAAGGGGCGCGUGUGAAUUUGAAACGUCCACUCUAUUACUGACAAAGUGGACGCGUGUGCGAAAUCCAAGCGUCAUCCCUCUGGCACUUAGUGGCGCGUGAGGAUUUGAAACGGUUUUCUUCUGAAACGGCGCUUGUUGGGCGGCGUGAUCCUAGGAAUCUGACACUCUCUCUCCUACGUGAUCAUCGCACGCCUCAACUGUCGCAUAUCUACCAUUCAGGAAACCUUUUCGUAUUUCCAUAGAAGAUUUUAGACGAUUUUUCUCUCUCCUUUCACCCACUAUAAAAGGCAGUCUUCACCACCAUUUACCUCUUUACUGCCUCCGAAAUUUCAAGAGAACAAAUACUCCCAAAAAGCACCCCUGUUCAUCAUCUUCUUCAAUCUUCAACAAUGGCAGAAUCAUCUUCCGUCCAUGCUACCUCACAAAUCCUUCCCAUUCGUCCACAACAAUGCCUGGUGAUCGACCUAAACCCUCUGGCGUACGACUCUUACAUGUCGUCGAUCAUCGAGUGCCUGAAGUACACCCAAAUAGCUCCAGCUCUCUCCAGGAUUGAGUCUGUGCCAAUGGUGGUUCUCUCACCGGUGUAUGCAACUGCCUAUUAUGACAAAGCCGUUGAGCGGGUGUUAUUCGAGGUUGCUGAUCACAAAACCUCAAUUUCUCGACAGCGUUUUGGUACUUUGAUUGGUUUGGCUGCUGACCCAUCGAGAAUUAAUCCGGAGACAAUUCCGAUUGGGCAUCUUUACAACAUGUUCUAUAACAUGGGGUACACGGAGGCGCUUGUCUCCGUCGCAAAGUUCAAGAAGUCCUGCUUGCCGCCGCAGUGGAACGGCAUGUUCACAGUCCUCUUCAAGGGCUUGUCUGAACGGAGCUCAGGAUCUGAUGGUGCUAGUCGACUGUUCUUGUCGAUUAUGUACGCAGUUUACAACGGCGUCAACCUCGACUUUGGGUUGGUCCUCUGGCAACAGCUCAUCCAGAGCCUUUCUUCUUCAUCACGACAUUCUGAGGUGUCGUUUGCCCAGUUUUGGAUUCUAAUCACCAAAUGGGCGAUGGAUAAGUUGGAUAUCCCUACUGCUGCUGGUGCAGUGAUGUCUUCGGUCGGUACUUUUCAUACCACCAAGAUAAUCGUUUCUAAUGCAUCCAGGUUCUCUUUUAUUGGCUCCAUUCCGGAGACCAUGUAUGGCGACGUCCCAUCCGACNNNNNNNNNNNNNNNNNNNNNNNNNNNNNNNNNNNNNNNNNNNNNNNNNNNNNNNNNNNNNNNNNNNNNNNNNNNNNNNNNNNNNNNNNNNNNNNNNNNNAGGAGGAUCGACUUCUGAUGAACCUCCAUCCAACGAUGCUUCUGUUGAGGGGGAGCCAAACUCACAAGUCGAGGGGGAGCCAAGCUCACAUGUCGAGGGGGAGCCAAACUCUACAAUUGCAAUCGAAAGUGCUUCUCCAACCGAAAGUGCUUCUCCAUCCGAAGGUGCAUCAAUGCCUGCAAGUCCAGCACCACAAGAAACCUCUGAACCUCAAGUUUCUCAAAGCUCAUCAAUAGAGGGGGAGCAUGAUGAUAUGAUGCUCGACUACGAUAGCCAGUCCGAGCCAGAAGAAAUGAUCAAUGCUGAACUAGACCCAACCUUUGAUCCAAAUUAUCCUCCUCUUACCAAAUGGACCAGAGAUCAUCCUAUCUCUCAAGUGGUUGGUGAUGUCUCUGAAAAGGUUCUGACCCGAUCACAACUGAAGGCAAAACAGACAUCCUUAUUUUCAAAGGUUGAGUUUUGUAUGUUUAACUCAUUCGUAUCAAAAGUUGAACCGAAGACAGUUAACACUGCCCUUGAUCACUCUGAUUGGGUUCAAGCAAUGCAAGACGAACUAAACGAAUUUGAAAGGAACAAAGUCUGGCGCCUCAUUCCAACUCCUCCAGAUGCUUCGGUUGUUGGUCUCAAAUGGGUCUUUAGGAACAAAAUGGACAAGGAAGGGAAUGUAAUAAGGAACAAAGCUCGCCUGGUAGUAAAGGGAUAUUGUCAGGAGGAAGGGAUUGAUUAUGAAGAAACUUUCGCUCCUAUAGCUAGGCUGGAAUCUGUAAGAAUAUUUCGUGCUUAUGCUGCCCACAAAAACUUUGAAGUUUUCCAAAUGGACGUCAAGUGUGCAUUUCUUAAUGGAGAACUCGAAGAAACCGUGUAUGUGGAGCAACCUCCUGGGUUCGUGAACGAAAAGUAUCCAAACCAUUGCUAUAUUCUGGAUAAAGCUGUGUAUGGCCUUAAACAAGCUCCGAGAGCCU
This 6061-nucleotide long non-coding RNA is filed under the name Lactuca sativa (garden lettuce). RNAcentral describes it as "long non-coding RNA (LSAT_LNC003080)". Lineage: Eukaryota; Viridiplantae; Streptophyta; Magnoliopsida; Asterales; Asteraceae. The record is from RNAcentral.